CUGUGGAGUUCCAGUGGUACCUACAUAAUAGAGGAGCAGUCCUUGUUACUUUGCUCUGUGGAUAUGAAAUUCAAAUCGACCCCUUUCACCUGACAAGAACAUUGAUAUUGGACAAUGCCAGCCUCUUUUAAAUUCUUGCUGUCUACAAUAUCUGUGCAUGGCACCUGCGAUGAAUAAGGUCAGGGAAAGAUCAUGGUUAUGGUUAAACACAUAUCUGCAUGUCAGAUGUGCUAUAUGCCCCUCCACCACGCACUUACUCUCUGCCUUGAUACAGAAAGCUCACACUGAAUGGGCACUGAACGCUGAUGCAAAUUGGGGUAAUUUGAGCCACUAGCCCACAGGGAAAUUAUGGGAUGUCAGGAGAAUGGUAGGGAGGAAGAGGGAGACGUGGAGAAAGGAAACUAAUAUAUGCAGAGGCUCAAAGAAGUCAGCUAUCUUCUACAGACACUCUGGUUCCUGAAGGAGAGAAUACUCCUCAAAACAACUCAUCUGGUUCCUCAGAUCCAAAUGCUGAUUCUACAAAUGCUGGUUUCAGUCAUGUUAAUGACAAUAUACAGAGGUCUCUACAGGACAUAUGGAGUGAUGAUAGCUGUGGCACUGGUGCAUGGAGGAGUGUUACCUUCUUUUUCUCUGAGAGGCUCUGCUAAAACCUGUGCUCCACACUUACAUCACCACCCACUCUCCAAGAAGUAGCAGAUCAGGAUUUGCAGUGGAAACUCAAAAAGUGGUUGGAUGAGAUUUUCUAAUUUUUAAAGGAAAAUGCUCAGAAUAGCAUACGCCCUGAGGGACUGAACACACUUGGCCUCCUGGACCUGAUGAAAAUUCACCCGAGCAUCUUCAAGGAAAGUGUUUUCUUCAUCGUAGAGGCCUUGAAAGGCUACAGACUUGAUCUCCCUGUUCCAAGCAGAGCUGUCCCCUCCAGGAAGCAACCAGAGGUGACUGGAAAAGAGAAUGGAAGAGUACUGAGAGACUACUGAAGACUUGAGACCCUUGAGAGGAGCAUCAGGUGGGCAAGAGGGAGGAUUCUUCCAUUGGAGGUUGCAGAUGAACUUCUUCCAUUAGUGACCUGUUUUAUUCAACUAGUGCAAACAGCUUUGUCAUGUCAACUCAAUAAGAUAUUGACUAUGAUUCAUAUGAUUCCAUCUCUUUUGUCAGUCAGUCAAACUUUAUGCAGGGGUUAGGUUCUCAGCCACCAUGUCUGAAUUCAGGCAUAGAGCAGUUUUAAAUUCAUAUUAUACUUAAUUCAAUACAUUGUACACUGGACAACUAUUCAGGCUCCCAAAUCUUUUCUUGCUUUAAUCCCUGCUUUAUGUAGAAGUUAAAUGCAAUUCAAAGUGCUUUCUUUGAAUUGGAGUUACAUUGACUUCUAAAAAGUCUCUUUUGAGGUUGGGGUGAACAGGACACUUGUCAUGCCUGCUGGAGAUUACAUCAUGCAUUAUGUCAAGACUUUGGAUACACUUAAAGUUGGACUUGUUUUCAACAUGCUCAAUUCACAGUAGGUUAUGUUGUAUGUGUUCUGAUGGCACUUGAAUGCAGUUUGGUGCAGUAU
Thunnus maccoyii (southern bluefin tuna) is the source of this 1549-nucleotide long non-coding RNA. RefSeq lists it as uncharacterized. Lineage: Eukaryota; Metazoa; Chordata; Actinopteri; Scombriformes; Scombridae. The transcript is spliced from 7 exons. The record is from RefSeq and is a predicted model, not a curated record.